Molecule: ribosomal RNA, 689 nt
Filed under: uncultured bacterium
Lineage: Bacteria
Description: bacterial SSU rRNA
Rfam family: Bacterial small subunit ribosomal RNA
Source: RNAcentral
AGUGGCGGACGGGUGAGUAACACGUGGGCAACCUGCCUUAUGGAGGGGGAUAACACAAAGAAAUUUGUGCUAAUACCGCAUAAAACUAAUGCUUCGCAUGGAGUGCUAGUCAAAGAUUUAUCGCCAUAAGAUGGGCCCGCGGCGCAUUAGCUAGUUGGUGAGGUAACGGCUCACCAAGGCGACGAUGCGUAGCCGACCUGAGAGGGUGAUCGGCCACAUUGGGACUGGGACACGGCCCAGACUCCUACGGGAGGCAGCAGUGGGGAAUAUUGCACAAUGGGGGAAACCCUGAUGCAGCAACGCCGCGUGAGCGAUGAAGGCCUUCGGGUUGUAAAGCUCUGUCUUCAGGGACGAUAAUGACGGUACCUGAGGAGGAAGCCACGGCUAACUACGUGCCAGCAGCCGCGGUAAUACGUAGGUGGCAAGCGUUGUCCGGAAUUAUUGGGCGUAAAGGAUGCGUAGGCGGCCUUUUAAGUGGGAUGUGAAAUACCCGGGCUUAACCCGGGAAUGGCAUUCCAAACUGGAAGGCUAGAGUGCAGGAGAGGAAAGUGGAAUUCCCAGUGUAGCGGUGAAAUGCGUAGAGAUUGGGAGGAACACCAGUGGCGAAGGCGACUUUCUGGACUGUAACUGACGCUGAGGCAUGAAAGCGUGGGGAGCAAACAGGAUUAGAUACCCUGGUAGUCCACGCC